GGGAAUCCGGUGCGAAUCCGGAACUGUCCCGCAACGGUGUACUCGCGUGCGUUCAUGCCCUUCGCGCACGCCUGUUGAGUCCGAGGACC
RNAcentral lists this non-coding RNA (89 nucleotides) under Streptomyces ipomoeae. The record is from RNAcentral. Lineage: Bacteria; Bacillati; Actinomycetota; Actinomycetes; Kitasatosporales; Streptomycetaceae.